CAGACGUUGAAAAUCCCAGUACUAUAAGUUCUCGGAGUGACUUUGUGGAAACAAGGGAUGAAAGUAUUAGCAGUGAUAAUAAGUUUUUGGAGAACCAGAGGCCGUUUGAUCCUCUAGAACAACCAGAUUGGCCUGAAAGAGACGAGAUAAUUCCUGCGAAUAUCGAAUGGAAGGCGAACAGUGUGGAUCUCCCCUUUUCUCUUAGGAUUAUAAAGAGAAAAAAACAAUGGCAAGAUGGGAUCAGAGAAG
This 249-nucleotide unclassified non-coding RNA is filed under the name Hevea brasiliensis (rubber tree). The record is from RNAcentral. Lineage: Eukaryota; Viridiplantae; Streptophyta; Magnoliopsida; Malpighiales; Euphorbiaceae.